ACCGUUCCGGCCCUUGUGGCCGCCUCCAGGGCCGAAAGCUCGUAGUGGACGAAGGGCAGGGCCUCCCCGGGGAUGCCCAGGCGCGCCGGGCUGUCGGACGUGCCCGUGGCCAGGACCACGUUGCGGGCACAUAGGGAGAAGGGCUGCUGGCUCUGGUCCUCCGUGGUCAGGACGCCGCUCACCUGGAAGAGGGGGCUGGGGGCCGGAGCCCCGGAGCCACCAGACACAGGUGUCCCCCACUCCACGGCCGUGACCACGGCACCGGACACAAAGUUGUGACCCAGGCCCUUCUUGGUCACGUAGUCCCUGUAGUAGUGAGCGAUGUCCCCAGCCGUGGCUCGGCUGUUACGAAGACCUCUGAAGGGAAGGAUUCAGGGGGGCGGGUGUCAGAGAGCAGACCUGGGGUGGAGGGCCACAGUUGGGGGUGACCAGGCCGGCGGCUGGACUGUGGCUCUGCCUCCCCCGCUGUGGGACUUAGUUUACCCCCUCGGAGCCUGCAGCUCGUCAUGUGUGAAACAGAACUAAUGCAGGUUCCUCAGUAGGGUGGGGUUGAGACUGUGGUCUCUAAAGCCAGGUGGCCUGGGUUCAAAUCCUGCUGGUGAGCUACGUGCCUGAAACACUCCAUGCCUCAGUUUCCUCAUUUGCACACGGGGAUGAUGGUGGUGACAGAGCGAUUUCACGCGGCUGUUGAGGGUCGGCUGUGAUGUGCACAGAAAUCUUAGGAUAGAAGCUGCCAGGUGGUGGGUGGCAGGGAAGAGUCAGCCACUGGUCCUACCUCCAAAGACUAAUUACGCAUCUACACGAAGGUGCUAGGCUUCCAUCUCCCCCAAGCUCGGAAACAGGGCAAUGACCGCAGGGCCAGCGUCUCCAGGUGCCUGAGCUACGGGCUUCGGCAUGAUCUCAGCUCCUCCGUCUACCUGGGUGACCUGGGACGCGUUACCUACUCUAACCACGGACGUGUUGUUAAGGGCGAUCCUACGUGGGGCGCCUGGGUGGCGCAGUCGAGAAUCCUACAUGACACCCAACAGGACCAACAGUAGCACCAACUCACAUCGCAUCCCCCAAGGCCACGCCACGCAGCCCAGCCCGCCGGUCUGCUCCUGAAACUGGAACUCUGCUUUCUGUGGGUUUGUCACUUUCCCCUCUCUGAGUAAAAACUGUUCCAGAGAACGGUCCUAAGGUGCGACAUCUAGGGUUCUUUCUAAGAAGCAAAGCCGCAGGACUGGGGGUAGGGGGGCUUUGGAGUCCUGGCGGCACCAGGAGGGCAGGGAGUGUGGCUGCCGUGGGUGUGGCCCGGCGCACAGGAGCAGGAGCAGAUGUGCUUGAUGGGGAAUAUUAUGUGGCCCCGUAAAAGACAGUUGCAAACGCUGUCUUCACCAUGUGAAACCCUUAUGCCUGAACGUUAAAUUUGAAAGUGAAAUAUAAAAGUAUGUCUACGAUUAAAAUUUCAGUUCCUGUCGCUCUGUUGACACAUCCCCACACUAGCCUGGGUAUCUUCCUGCCAAGUCUGCAGGGACACAAAGUCUUUGUGAAACUGAGUUGCUGGGUGGGGACGACCAGCCUGUGUCAUGGCACCUGGGGUCGGAGGGAACAGGGUCACACAAGGUCAGCCACCACCCAAGUGGCAACCCUGCACCCACCCCCCCUGGAGCACCGGGGAACUUGCUGCUUUGCUCCCCAGGAUGAGCAGGGGCUGGAAUUCAUUUGUUCAGUGAUUGGGCUUUUUCCUCCAGGAAGGUCAGACGUGUGCAGUGUGGUCAUGAUGGAACAGGAAACAAGGUGGAGGAG
Long non-coding RNA from Canis lupus familiaris (dog), 1788 nucleotides. RefSeq lists it as uncharacterized. NCBI's taxonomy places the organism in Eukaryota, Metazoa, Chordata, Mammalia, Carnivora, Canidae. The record is from RefSeq and is a predicted model, not a curated record. The transcript is spliced from 3 exons.